CUUUGCGUGGCGCCUCGUUCUUGUUCAGUUACUCUCAGAACAAGGAGUCACGCAAAGGA
MicroRNA precursor from Monodelphis domestica (gray short-tailed opossum), 59 nucleotides. NCBI's taxonomy places the organism in Eukaryota, Metazoa, Chordata, Mammalia, Didelphimorphia, Didelphidae. The record is from Ensembl.